GAUGAACGCUGGCGGCGUGCCUAAUACAUGCAAGUCGAGCGAACAGACGAGGAGCUUGCUCCUUUGACGUUAGCGGCGGACGGGUGAGUAACACGUGGGUAACCUACCUAUAAGACUGGGAUAACUUCGGGAAACCGGAGCUAAUACCGGAUAAUAUUUCGAACCGCAUGGUUCGAUAGUGAAAGAUGGCUUUGCUAUCACUUAUAGAUGGACCUGCGCCGUAUUAGCUAGUUGGUAAGGUAACGGCUUACCAAGGCAACGAUACGUAGCCGACCUGAGAGGGUGAUCGGCCACACUGGAACUGAGACACGGUCCAGACUCCUACGGGAGGCAGCAGUAGGGAAUCUUCCGCAAUGGGCGAAAGCCUGACGGAGCAACGCCGCGUGAGUGAUGAAGGUCUUCGGAUCGUAAAACUCUGUUAUUAGGGAAGAACAAACGUAUAAGUAACUGUGCACGUCUUGACGGUACCUAAUCAGAAAGCCACGGCUAACUACGUG
RNAcentral lists this ribosomal RNA (497 nucleotides) under uncultured bacterium. RNAcentral describes it as "partial 16S ribosomal RNA". It matches the Rfam family "Bacterial small subunit ribosomal RNA", at positions 28 to 507 of the family's 1533-position model. The record is from RNAcentral.